ACACAUGAUAAAUGACUCAAACCAAAUCUAUAGCAAACUUCAAAGGGUCUAGAAUCAAUGUGCAAAAUUUCAGGUUCAUAUGAUAAACACCAAGCAUUUCACAAAUCAUCUAAGUGCAUGACUAUCCAAAAGUCCAAACAUGACCAAUCAGCAAAGAAAAUCCCAAACAAAUUGGAAAUGCACUAAAAAAUUCUACAAAAAUUCAUGAUCAAACUUAACAUCCAGAAGUAGCAUCAUAAAAAAAAUCACAUCAAUUGAAAUUGAAUUGGCAUGGCAAAU
Molecule: long non-coding RNA, 279 nt
Filed under: Lathyrus oleraceus (garden pea)
Lineage: Eukaryota; Viridiplantae; Streptophyta; Magnoliopsida; Fabales; Fabaceae
Description: Pisum sativum (pea) long non-coding RNA (PSAT_LNC020988)
Source: RNAcentral